This 762-nucleotide long non-coding RNA is filed under the name Olea europaea subsp. europaea. The record is from RNAcentral. Lineage: Eukaryota; Viridiplantae; Streptophyta; Magnoliopsida; Lamiales; Oleaceae.
UAGCACCUUGAGCUCAUUUUUAUUUAAAAAUAACUAUAAUAAUGAAAAAGAAUUCGGGGCGUUACAUCAAAGACAUACAAUCACUGGCAUAAUUACUUUUACCAGUCAUUGAACAUCCACUUAUUCCACUCAAAUUUCUUAUUUAUGUCCUUCAUGAUGGCGAAUAUGUCCUGAUAACACUUCUAUGCAAGAAGUGUGGAUGCGAAAAAUACAAAGGUGUACGUCGCUCAAGUUGUCAUGUCGCCAACAACUCUUCAACACAGGUAGCGCCUGCGCUUUCGUUUGAAGCCAUCAUCGUAUUAAUCUUCGCUGCCACUUCCUCUUGACACUGAUGACAGUCAACUGAGAAAGAUAGUUCACGAGUAGAGAUCUAUUUCUUCCUGCCCCGUCGCUUCUCGUCAGAAGAUUUCCUUUUACUGCUGCUUGUGGUGGUGGAAACGUUCACGCCAACCCUAACAUGUUUGUUUGCUUGGCCUCGUCGCUCGAACCACUACUCUCUCCAUUGACCGAGAUCGCAUCCCUGUUGUCUUCGAGUGCACUAUCCUCGAAUAGGCUGAAUCCUGUUCUGUACAACUUCGUUGGAGUGACAGCAUACUUGUUUUCGUCGUAGCUGUCAUUGAAUAGCUGAUGAUAGUGAAUGUAGAUCUCGUCGAUGUCAUUGUUCUUGAAGUCUUUGUUCACUUGCAUAGCAUGGGUUGAACAAUGAUAGUAUCUAUGAAAUGAAAUUUGAAAUGUAUCAAUAAAGAUAAAACGCAAGAAAUG